AUUGAACGCUGGCGGCAGGCCUAACACAUGCAAGUCGAGCGGAUGAAGGGAGCUUGCUCCUGGAUUCAGCGGCGGACGGGUGAGUAAUGCCUAGGAAUCUGCCUGGUAGUGGGGGAUAACGUCCGGAAACGGGCGCUAAUACCGCAUACGUCCUGAGGGAUAAAGUGGGGGAUCUUCGGACCUCACGCUAUCAGAUGAGCCUAGGUCGGAUUAGCUAGUUGGUGGGGUAAAGGCCUACCAAGGCGACGAUCCGUAACUGGUCUGAGAGGAUGAUCAGUCACACUGGAACUGAGACACGGUCCAGACUCCUACGGGAGGCAGCAGUGGGGAAUAUUGGACAAUGGGCGAAAGCCUGAUCCAGCCAUGCCGCGUGUGUGAAGAAGGUCUUCGGAUUGUAAAGCACUUUAAGUUGGGAGGAAGGGCAGUAAGUUAAUACCUUGCUGUUUUGACGUUACCAACAGAAUAAGCACCGGCUAACUUCGUG
RNAcentral lists this ribosomal RNA (484 nucleotides) under uncultured bacterium. RNAcentral describes it as "partial 16S ribosomal RNA". It matches the Rfam family "Bacterial small subunit ribosomal RNA", at positions 30 to 507 of the family's 1533-position model. The record is from RNAcentral.